Molecule: non-coding RNA, 124 nt
Organism: Gossypium hirsutum (cotton)
Lineage: Eukaryota; Viridiplantae; Streptophyta; Magnoliopsida; Malvales; Malvaceae
Source: Rfam
GAUAGUAAAAUGAAAAUUUAGAUUUUUCUUCCUGAUUUUCUGCUUUUUCAUCCUGAAAAAAAUUCAAAUCCAAUUAAAAAUGCUAAAAAUCAAGAGGAAAAAUCUAAUUUGUCAUCAUCCUAUC